This 1990-nucleotide unclassified non-coding RNA is filed under the name Daphnia pulicaria. Its description in RNAcentral is "mitochondrial uncoupling protein Bmcp-like, transcript variant X2". The record is from RNAcentral. Lineage: Eukaryota; Metazoa; Arthropoda; Branchiopoda; Diplostraca; Daphniidae.
CGUGAUCCAAUGUCAUUGGCAAUGACCGAGUCCGAAAGGGCAGUCUCAAAAUUGUCGGUACUAUUAAUGAAAUUACAAGAGGCUCUUGUCUUUCAGCCUGUGUUUAAACGAUAGGGAUGCCGUCGAAUCACUGAACCUAUUUAUAAAUUCCCUAGGCAUUGGCUCUCUCAAGAGUAAUUGGAUUCACACGCGCAUGUACAUGUAGUGUGAAGUAGAUUUCCUCGUGCAGUAGAUACAAAAUAGCAGCAUUGUUGCAGUGUUCCGAUCCCCAUUCGAACCACAACACGUUAGUUUGAAUACAUCAUAGUAUUUCAUUUGCCAGUCAUUAAAAGUAUACGUUUUUUAUGAGCGAAUGUGUGUUUUCUUUCUAUCCACAAAGUUCUUUCUUUGUUCCCCUGGCUAAAGUUUAAGUGGGUUGUUUCCAGUUUUCGAUCACAUGUGAAAAAAAAUAUGCACGGAUAAAUUAUGAAACCAGUCAAGUCUUGAUUAGUGUUUAUGAUAUUCAGCUCAACCGUUUUCCUGUAUCACAAGUUUUGAAUUGCACCAGUGUUCCUAUAGUUUGUUGUAGCUACAGCCUUAAAAAAAUUCACAUGGGUGAUAGUCAUGACUGGAGACCAUUUAUCUAUGGAGGUUUCUCAUCUUGUACAGCUGAAUUUGGUACAUUCCCAAUUGAUACUACCAAAACAAGGCUUCAGAUUCAAGGCCAGAAGUUGGAUGGAAGAUUUACAGUUGUUCGCUACAAUGGCAUGUUUCACGCAUUGUCAAGAAUCACCAGGGAAGAAGGUGUCAGGGCUUUGUAUUCAGGCAUUUGGCCAGCACUUUUAAGACAAUCCACAUAUGGAACUAUCAAGUUUGGGAUUUACUAUACCCUCAAAAAGUGGAUUGAUCAUCCUGAAGUUGAAGACAUGAUGACAAACAUAUUUUGUGGUGUUAUUGCUGGUGUGGUUUCAAGUGCCAUAGCCAAUCCAACAGAUGUAUUGAAAGUAAGGAUGCAAGCAUGCUCAACCUCCCUGCAGCAAAAGUCAAUGUUUGAGUGCUUUGGAGAUGUAUACAGACAAGAAGGAAUAUCUGGUUUGUGGCGGGGAGUUGGUCCAACCGCACAGAGAGCAGCCGUGAUAACGGCUGUGGAAUUGCCCAUUUACGAUAUCUGUAAGCAUCGGUUAAUACAGGGUAAUGUAAUGGGCGAUACAGUCUCAAAUCACUUUGUGUCAAGCUUUAUAUCAAGUUUGGGUGGUGCAGUCGCCUCAACUCCAAUUGACGUCGUUCGUGUUCGGCUGAUGAAUCAACGACGCCUUAAAUCUGGAGUACGAUUCGGGUUCGGCAUGAGCAGUGAUUUUUCUCUUCACAAAUCUCGACUCUAUCGUGGAACUUUAGAUUGUUUUGUACAGACCGUCCGACACGAAGGUAUCAUGGCUCUCUAUCGUGGUUUUAUUCCAACUUGGUUGCGUAUGGGCCCGUGGAACGUGAUUUUCUUUAUUACGUACGAACAGCUGAAAAAGUUGUACUAAUCGAAAGCUGAUCUGGUCGUCGAGUCAACAAGAACAAUUCAAAAUUGUUUCCCGAAUUUCCCUUCUGACUGACGCAUCCGUAUAUCAAUCAAAUGGCGAGUAUUAAGUCGACCUAGUGUCGCCUCAACGAGCUCAUAGAUCGUCUGUCAGUAUCCGGGCACCGGGCUUUGGCAGAACUUUACUUGUAGGCUACUUCAGUUAAUAUCGAGAGGGAUUUCCACUUCAGUUUAAAUUAUUUUUGAAGUCAGUUAAAGUAGGCUACAUUUUUUUAAUGAGCGAAUGUGUCCUUUCUUUCUUCUUACCAAGUCCCUCUUUGUUCUCCGUGCUAAAAUAUUGAGUGGAUUGUUUUCUUUUAAAUUAUAUGAACAAAAAUAUGUACAGAUAAAUUAAGGAAGUGCUCAUUAGAUGUAUUUAUCAGAAUCAGAUAGUCAGCUCAACUGAUUUUCUGCCCCAUCUCUUUAGAUUUGUAAAUGUAAGUCUUU